UGGACAUGUUUGUACCUGUACAGUGGAUC
RNAcentral lists this non-coding RNA (29 nucleotides) under Mus musculus (house mouse). The record is from RNAcentral. Lineage: Eukaryota; Metazoa; Chordata; Mammalia; Rodentia; Muridae.